GCUUGGGGCCUUCCCGGAGUGCUGGCUCCGAGGGCAAGGGGGAGGGGACCGUCAGUGGUUUAGGGGCCGAAGAGGGAGUCAGGAUUUGAAAUUGAAAUGCGGGUGUUAGAAGUGGGGACCUGAGAGGCUGCGAGUGCAGGAGUAGGCUUUGGGGCGUGGGAAUUUACAUACGCCCUCAGACGCGGAUCUUAUCCGGUCUUGCCUCUGCUGGGGAAAAAAAAAAAAAAAAAGAGCUGUUUAUCAGUGUAUAGAUCGGAUCAAGUCCAAGCUGUUCAGCAUACCAUUCAAAGCCCUUCACAAUAGGGCGAGGUGUAGGGUGUGGCCAGUGAGGCCCUGGCAGAAGGUAUGUGGGCGGCAAAAAAACGUAAUCAAGAUCAAUAAUACUUUAAUACAAUUUUUUAAAAAUCCAUACCACCGCCCCCCAAAUUCCUGCCUCACUCACCUCAUUCUAAGCCCAGCCCUGGUUACGGUAAAACUUCGUUUACAUAAACGGGUGGCAUGCCCGUAAGUUGCUGAUGUGCCCUUAGCCACCACGGGGAUCUGGGGAUCUGCCACAGGAAGAGAGGACUCGGUGGCCUUUGGAGGUCAAACAAGGCCAUAAAUCAGGGAGGCAAGGCUGAGUGUGUAAACGGCUGCCUGCCCCAGAGUCUUCUCCUUGCUUCAGCCAAGUGUUGUUAGAUCUUAACCAGUCGCGAGAAAUCGGGAUUUGGGGGUCAAUAGCUUGGUUUUUAAAUAUUGCAAAUACAUUUUUAAAGUUUUAAUUUGGGAGCCAAACUAAUCCCACAGUUAGGCCCGAUUCGGCCUGUCAGUAACCAGGUUGUAAUGGUUCAUCUGCUAGGUCCCUUUACCCUUUUAUAUUUUUUUCUUCUUUGAAAAGCUUCUGGAAUCUUCCUUCCCCUCUUCUCUCUCCUGUGUUUCUCUAUUCUUGCAUCAGUCACAGUGCAUUUAGUGUUUGAGCUUAUGCACCUUUCUGGUAAUUUGUGCGUUUCGUUUCUGGGUGGCUCUAUGUUCCCCCUGUUGGGCCCAUUCCAGAACUUAAAGUCCCAGAAACCGAAAGAAUGGAAGAUAUGAUACUUCUAAAAAAAAAAAAAGAAAGAAAGAAAGAAAGAAAAUAUGAUACUUCUAGAUGACAUGGAGCAAGAUAGUAGGUGCCAGGGUGCCUAUAACAUUUUACCUACUGACCCUUUUGUCCCCAAGAUUAUCAGGGACCUUCUGGAUGCUAAAUCUGUGGGAUGCUUUUCAGUGGACCAUCUUGUAGCCAUUUGAUAAUGUUGAAUCCUACCUUAAUUCUGAAACUCAUGUACGUUGGAUCUCGUAACUCCCUGCCCUCUUCUCUUCCUUUAAUAUUUCUGGAGGCUCCUUUUACAUCUCCCGUUGCCUCUGUGUAUGUAUAUGUUUUAACCCCUAGUCCUUUAUUUUGGAAAAUUCCAAACCUACAGAAAUGUUGAAACAGGAGAGUAUAAAUACAGUAUAGAUUCCCCAGUUGUUAACAUUUUGCCACAUUUACCGUUUGCAUAUACAUAGAUACACACAUAUAUACACACAAAACCUCUUCUUUUUUUCAGAAGAGUUUGAAAAUAAGUUGCAAACUUCACGACAUUUAGCCCGGCGGUACUUCAGCAUGUAAUCUCCCCAAAUAAGGACAUUGCCCUCCACAACCAUACGUCACAGAUCCAGUUCUCCAGUUCUCAGGUAGAGACCAGUCUGCAGAAGGUUGUGUUUUUUUUUUUCCCGCCCCGUGGCAUAUGGAGUUCCAUGGUUCAGAUCCAAGCCGCAGUUGCCACCCAAGCCACAGCUGUGGCAGUGCUGGACCCCCAACCCUCUGGGCCCAGCUGGAGAAUCAAACCCUCCACCCAGCGCCCCCAAGACCUGGAUGGUCCCAUUGCACCACAGUGGGAACUCUGCCUGCAACAGGCUUAUUAAGGAGUGCUUCUGGGCUCCCCACUUAUGCAAGGAAAGGGGGUUGCCAUGAACUUUCAAGGACCUCAGGCAGUCCCAGAGGGAGCUCUGUGACAGGGAUGAUCCAGCACGUCUAUCCUGAGUGGGACAAGGGGGCUGGACCCUUGUAUUCUCAUACUAAGUCGUGUGCAGGCUUCAUCGUGUGCAGGCUUUGCUGGAAAGGGUGUGUGAUCUUGGGCAAAGGAGUUAGUUCAGUGCAGCUGGGGCAAUUCCUGGGACAGCCCCUCCCUUCUCCCUUCCCUCCUCCCUCUCUCCUCCCCCUCUGUCUUUUUUUUGAGGGGAGGGCACACCUGCAGCAUAUGGAAAUUCCCAGGCCGGGGUCCAAUCAGAGCUACAGCCACCAGCCUACAUCGCGGCCACAGCAACAAGGGAUCUGAAACCUUCAGUCCUUGGGGAACUGAGCAGGCACGACCAUGGUCACUGCCGUCUUAGUGUGUCUGGGCUGCCUAACAAAAUGCCACAGACCGAGUGACUUAUCAACAGACAUUGCUUGUCACGGCUCUGGAGGCCAGAAGUCUGAGAUCAGGGUGCACUGUGGUCGGGUGAGGGUCCUCUCCUGUGGCACAGAUUUCUCAGUUGUAUCCUCCCGAGUACUAGGGACAUGCGAGCUCUGUGGGGUCUAUUUUAUAAAAGGAUUAAUCCCAUUAAUGGGGGCUCCACCCUCCUGCUCCUUGACUCCCCAAAGGCCCCACCUUCGCACACCAUCACAUUGGAUGUCAGGAUUCCAACAUGUGAAUUUGGGGCAGAAACAUUCAGGCGGAGCAAUUACAGUCGUCCCCCCCACCCGGUAUCCUGAGAUCCACUUCUUAGUACAAAUUUGAGGAACAGCUCCUCCAGGAUUCUGGGAGGUCUUUUUUCCUCAAGGCAAUUUUAAAGAGGAAGGACGGAAGACAAAUGCCAGCCCUACUGCUGCAGCAGGGCUUCCCUUGACACUCACUGUCUUUCCCUUCCACUGUCCCUUCUAGAUUUUUCCCACCUCCCAGCACCAGGGUCUGCUGGUCUCCAUCGCUUACCCAGUGGCACAAGGCAGGCCGUCAUCCCCAGGAAGUCUGAGCCCCUGGUUUCCAUGCUGUUUUCUGACUGGCUGCUGGCCCUCCCAAACCACAGACCAUCAGCACGGGGCAUGAAGCAUCCCAACAACCACUUGGGUACCAAACACAUCUCCCCACCUCCUCCUACAAUCAGGGUCAAUUUCUCCUACCUGGAUGGUGACUUCUCUCACUCCUUUCUUUACUCCUGACCCAAGAGCCCAGGUAGCAACUGUUGCUAACAUUUCAGUGGGACUCUUGCUCUGUCCCCUGGUGAAAUUGGAGCUGUCAACCUGGAGAAGCCAGGGUCACAGGGACAAGGGUAAUUUCCCAGGUGGGUCGCUGGGAGUGAUGGUAUGGGGUGGGGGCUCCGGCUUCCAUGCUGUGUCACCCACCUAUUGAGACCCAGCACCGAAGACCAGUCAUUGACUUGGAGUGUACGUAGACACCUCUGAUAACUCAGGGUCCACCAGAUUGCAUGGCCCAGCUAGGAGGGAAGCUUGUACCACUGCCUGAACCUGCUUCAGAACCCUUCCCUACUCUGGUCUCCAACUCAAAACCGGCAGCCUUUCAAGCCAUCAGUGUGGGGGGCAGAGCAGAAUUCCCAGGGGUGGAAUAUUCUGCUCCCAGAACCCAAAGAAGCCUCCCAGGUGCUGUGUUUUCUUCCUCUUGGUGGAAGGUACAAGAUGCAGCCACUUACCCUCUACUUUGUAGAAGUGCCGUCACCCCCAGACUGCUGGACCCUAAAAAUCUUACUCAUACGGUGGCCUCUGAAUCUUUGUAAAUGUGAGCGCCCACCUUCCAGAACACAUAUACAUGUAUCUUAUGGUGAAUUUUAGCAUACGAGCUGGUCUCAUGCUUCCCUGGUCUAAUUAGCAUGAUGACAUCAGUGGGAUGGGUCAGUGUGAUGUUUUGGGGCUUGUCCAGGCAAUCCAAAUCUCCUCAGAUUCUGUGAUGACAGAAGAUAGGAGAAUUAACUAGGUCUCCAGGGCAAGAUCAAAAUAUAUACCACUGUCUCUUCCAAGUGAAUAUAAACUCUUUCUGAUCCUCCUUUCUAACUGGGCUAGAAAAGACUUGCUUUCACCGAUGGCCACAUAUCAUGUGCCUGAGACCAUGUUUAUCCUUCUAGCAAAGAUGCCACCAGUGGAGUUCCCGCUGUGGCACAGCCAAAUGGCUGCUCCAGCUCCCAGAUCCCUCCUGUACUCACCGUCCCCAGUCGGACUCCCAGGAAGCAGCCUCGGAGAUGGAGAUUAGCCUGCAGAGAGAUGCUCUUGGGGUCUCCACCUGAGGACGGGAAGGAGUCUGGGACGCAGGAGCCUAGCCCCGAGAAAGACCUCAACAAAUCCAGAGGGCUUUAAAGCCGGAGUGCCCUUCAGAGCCGUCCCACGUUCAGGCAGGGGGCCUGGCUUUAUACUCCCAUGCUGAUCAGGCAGUGGGCAUGGGCUGCCCAGAAGGGAGCCAUGACCUUGGGCAAGGGAGGCAGUUUCUAAGAAGGCGGAGGGCUGUGGGCUGCUGGCAUUCCCAGAAGCUGGGGCAACACGCCCUUCCGUCCUGCUUAAGGGGAUCCUCAGGGUGCACUGCACCUGUCCACUUCCACGGGCCGUCAUCGCUUGAGGGCCUCUCAGCGGGCGGGCCUGAAGAGUGUGCAUAUUCUAAAGGUCCGGAGUGCACACCGGUGCCUGGGAUCCAAAUCCGAAACUAGUGUUCCUUACCCCCUCCCAGCCCAUAUUUGCAUUUCCCUUGCCCCCAGGGUGCGAGCCAACCCUGGCUUCGAUUGUAUCAGAUUUUUGCUUUAUCCCAGCAUGCCUGUGACUCCUUUAAAAAGUGUUCUCUCUUCCUAUGAUUCACUCCAUUGGUUUUAUUUAUUUAUUUAGUCUUUUGAGGGCAUAUGGAGGUUCCCAGGCUAGGGGUUGAAUCGGAGCCGUAGCUGCCAGUCUACUACAGCCACAGCAACGCAGGAUCUGAACCACAUCCGCGACCUACACCACAGCUCACGGCAAUACCGGAUCCUUAACCCAGUGAGUGAGGCCGGGGAUCGAACCUGCAUCCUCCUGGAUACCAGCUGGGUUCGUUAACCGCUGAGUCACAACAGGAACUCAGACACUCCAUUGGAUUUAAUGCUUAGUUCUAGGAAGAUGGUUCUCUAAUACAGUACUUUAUCCCGUGUUUCUGCGGAGCUUCACACUGUGUAACUGACUGCAUCUGACACAAGACUAAUGUCUGGUUGGCUGUCCAUGUACAACUCAAACGGAAGGAAUGUGUGACGUCUAAAGCUAAACUCAGCCUUCUCUGUGCCUUGCCAUGUGCCUCGAAGGGGCAGGAACUGUGUUCAUCUCAUUUGCCAAUGAAAGUCCACUAUGUAGCAGGUUGUCAGCGCUCCAAGAGAUGCCCUUUAAUAAAACAGUUCGUCUGGCCAUGGUGUGGAGAAUGGAUGGCAACGCCGUUCAGGGACUGUGCUAAGAACCCCCGAAUUGUACACUGUAAAGAAGUGAAUUUUACAGCAGGAAAGUGAGAGAGAGCCAUAUGCUGAUUUCUAAAAGAAGAAACUACGCCUGAAUGUUUCAGCUCAAACAAUCAAAAUAAGCCAGAGAUCUCAUGUUCAUCAAAUCUUUAUAUACUAAUAUUAAGGAACCAUUAAGCAAUGGAUCAUUUCAUCUUUCACAGACGCAACAAAGUGGGAAAAAACUUAAACAUGCAAAGUUAAGCAGCAGGCACAGAUGAGAGAACUCUGGAAGCCAGGCGUGUUACUUACAGAGCCGCGGCACCGGAGAUGAUUUCAAUCAGCUCCUUUGUGAUGACAGCUUGGCGGGUGCGAUUGAAUGUCAAAGUCAAUUUAUCAAUCAUUUCCGCUGAAAACAAAACACCAGAUUAGACAACAAGAUCCAAAACUAGAAAAGAAAAACUUUCAGCACCGACUGAAAUGCUGCUUCAUUUAAAAGUAAGAGAUUCUGUUUCCUCUUGGGUAUCGAAACUGGCCUCUCAAAAAAUUUUAUGAAGGUGUUUCUGCAUCUUCCGUGAGACACCUUUCUGAAGUACUCCCACACUUACUGCCUACCGAGUACGCAAUCGCUUCCUUUAAGGCAGAGCAUGCUAUCCUGCUAUCCUGACGGAUCGGUGGCAGGGCCCAGGACCAGAGCCCAGCUCUCCUGCUCCCCGGUCCACUCAAGAAUGCUGCCUUUGACAUGAGGGUCUUCAUGCUACUUCUGGCGAGAGGCUUCCUCUCGGAACGUGCCGUGUGCUUACAAGCAUUCUUGCUCGCGUUGUCCAUGGCCGUCAUCCUGGCGCUCUGCUCACUCGUGGUGGACUCCUUCAGGGAAUAGUAGAUGAUGUUGGCCAGGCUGUACUCCUGGUAGUUCCGCAGCACA
This is a long non-coding RNA of Sus scrofa (pig), 6352 nucleotides long. RefSeq lists it as uncharacterized. NCBI's taxonomy places the organism in Eukaryota, Metazoa, Chordata, Mammalia, Artiodactyla, Suidae. The record is from RefSeq and is a predicted model, not a curated record.